Chiroxiphia lanceolata (lance-tailed manakin) is the source of this 229-nucleotide long non-coding RNA. RefSeq lists it as uncharacterized. The transcript is spliced from 3 exons. The record is from RefSeq and is a predicted model, not a curated record. Lineage: Eukaryota; Metazoa; Chordata; Aves; Passeriformes; Pipridae.
GAGACGGACCGGAGAGAGGCCCAGAGGAUGUCCUUCACAGUGAUUUAAACGCAGGACAGCCGAAAACCUGGAGGAGGAAUGAAAUUCCAGGACACAUAUGUUGAUAAACUGACUACACUACAGCAACCUAUGAAAUGAGGUAUGAGAGGACAGACUCAAAGUUAUCUUCUUGGACUUCAUGAAGAAGAAAGAACUGCAGCAAACAUCUGAAGAAGUGGCAACUGCAGAG